UUAAGCAUAUCAAUAAGCGGAGGAAAAGAAACCAACCGGGAUUGCCUCAGUAACGGCGAGUGAAGCGGCAAGAGCUCAAAUUUGAAAUCUGGCCCCCUCGGGGUCCGAGUUGUAAUUUGCAGAGGAUGCUUCGGGUGCGGCCCCCGUCUAAGUGCCCUGGAACGGGCCGUCAUAGAGGGUGAGAAUCCCGUCUGGGACGGGGUGUCCGCGUCCGUGUGAAGCUCCUUCGACGAGUCGAGUUGUUUGGGAAUGCAGCUCUAAAUGGGUGGUAAAUUUCAUCUAAAGCUAAAUACUGGCCGGAGACCGAUAGCGCACAAGUAGAGUGAUCGAAAGAUGAAAAGCACUUUGAAAAGAGAGUUAAAAAGCACGUGAAAUUGUUGAAAGGGAAGCGCUUGCGACCAGACUCGCCCGCGGGGUUCAGCCGGCAUUCGUGCCGGUGUACUUCCCCGCGGGCGGGCCAGCGUCGGUUUGGGCGGCCGGUCAAAGGCCCCCGGAAUGUAGUGCCCCUACGGGGGCACCUUAUAGCCGGGGGUGCAAUGCGGCCAGCCUGGACCGAGGAACGCGCUUCGGCACGGACGCUGGCAUAAUGGUUGCAAACGACCCGUCUUGAAACACGGACCAAGGAGUCUAACAUCUACGCGAGUGUUCGGGUGUCAAACCCGUGCGCGCAGUGAAAGCGAACGGAGGUGGGAGCCCCCCCGCGGGGCGCACCAUCGACCGAUCCUGAUGUCUUCGGAUGGAUUUGAGUAAGAGCGUAAAUGUGGGGACCCGAAAGAUGGUGAACUAUGCCUGAAUAGGGCGAAGCCAGAGGAAACUCUGGUGGAGGCUCGCAGCGGUUCUGACGUGCAAAUCGAUCGUCAAAUUUGGGUAUAGGGGCGAAAGACUAAUCGAACCAUCUGGUAGCUGGUUCCUGCCGAA
Molecule: ribosomal RNA, 918 nt
Filed under: Aspergillus ochraceus
Lineage: Eukaryota; Fungi; Ascomycota; Eurotiomycetes; Eurotiales; Aspergillaceae
Description: LSU rRNA
Rfam family: Eukaryotic large subunit ribosomal RNA
Source: RNAcentral